Molecule: ribosomal RNA, 216 nt
Filed under: uncultured bacterium
Lineage: Bacteria
Description: partial 16S ribosomal RNA
Rfam family: Bacterial small subunit ribosomal RNA
Source: RNAcentral
GUCUCAGUUCAGAUUGUAGGCUGAAACUCGCCUAUAUGAAGUCGGAAUUGCUAGUAAUCGCAGAUCGGCAUGCUGCGGUGAAUACGUUCCCGGGCCUUGUACACACCGCCCGUCACACCAUGAGAGUCGAUAACACCCGAAGCCUGUAGUCUAACCAUAAGGAGGACGCAGUCGAAGGUGGGAUUGAUAAUUAGGGUGAAGUCGUAACAAGGUACC